CUCUAACUCUAUUGAAAUAUAUCCCUUUCCGAACCCAUUGUAUAAAAAAAAUUUAAUCAACGUGUGGUUGCCGGUGAUCUCAGAAGAUGAUUGGCUGAGUCAAAGGGUCAUAACCUUUCUCAGCUCCCUGAAAUGAUCAAAAUGUUCUAACAGGUGUUAAUGAAAUUGACAACUUCGUGGAAAGUGGAAGGCACUCGAAGGGGAUUUUGGUUUAGAAAAAAGGAAAUUUAUCUUUUAAUCAUUAGAGAAACAGAUUAUUACAUAGUAACGCGUGGAUUAUCAUAUUUAUCCAAUCU
This 296-nucleotide long non-coding RNA is filed under the name Mytilus galloprovincialis (Mediterranean mussel). Lineage: Eukaryota; Metazoa; Mollusca; Bivalvia; Mytilida; Mytilidae. The record is from RNAcentral.